UACGGAGGGGGCAAGCGUUAUUCGGAAUUAUUGGGCGUAAAGGGCGCGUAGGCGGCUAGAUGUGUCAAAGGUGAAAUCCCUCGGCUCAACUGAGGAACUGUCUUUGAAACUGUCUGGCUUGAGGGCGGGAGAGGGUAGCGGAAUUCCCAGUGUAGCGGUGAAAUGCGUAGAUAUUGGGAGGAACACCAGUGGCGAAGGCGGCUACCUGGACCGGUUCUGACGCUGAGGCGCGAAAGCGUGGGUAGCAAACAGG
RNAcentral lists this ribosomal RNA (253 nucleotides) under uncultured bacterium. Its description in RNAcentral is "partial 16S ribosomal RNA". It matches the Rfam family "Bacterial small subunit ribosomal RNA", at positions 524 to 776 of the family's 1533-position model. The record is from RNAcentral.